RNAcentral lists this ribosomal RNA (253 nucleotides) under uncultured bacterium. RNAcentral describes it as "partial 16S ribosomal RNA". It matches the Rfam family "Bacterial small subunit ribosomal RNA", at positions 524 to 776 of the family's 1533-position model. The record is from RNAcentral.
UACGUAUGGUGCAAGCGUUAUCCGGAUUUACUGGGUGUAAAGGGAGCGUAGGCGGCGCGUUAAGUCCAAUGUGAAAACCCGAGGCUCAACCACGGGAGUGCAUUGGAAACUGGCGUGCUGGAGUGCCGGAGAGGUAAGCGGAAUUCCUAGUGUAGCGGUGAAAUGCGUAGAUAUUAGGAGGAACACCAGUGGCGAAGGCGGCUUACUGGACGGCAACUGACGCUGAGGCUCGAAAGCGUGGGGAGCAAACAGG